UGGGGAAUUUUGGACAAUGGGCGCAAGCCUGAUCCAGCCAUGCCGCGUGAGUGAAGAAGGCCUUCGGGUUGUAAAGCUCUUUCGGCGGGGACGAAACGGUUCGCACUAAUACUGCGGACUAAUGACGGUACCCGCAUAAGAAGCACCGGCUAACUACGUGCCAGCAGCCGCGGUAAUACGUAGGGUGCAGGCGUUAAUCGGAAUUACUGGGCGUAAAGCGUGCGUAGGCGGUCUGUUAAGACAGGUGUGA
Molecule: ribosomal RNA, 250 nt
Filed under: uncultured bacterium
Lineage: Bacteria
Description: partial 16S ribosomal RNA
Rfam family: Bacterial small subunit ribosomal RNA
Source: RNAcentral